RNAcentral lists this ribosomal RNA (254 nucleotides) under uncultured bacterium. RNAcentral's name for it is "partial 16S ribosomal RNA". It matches the Rfam family "Bacterial small subunit ribosomal RNA", at positions 524 to 776 of the family's 1533-position model. The record is from RNAcentral.
UACGGGGGGAGCAAGCGUUGUUCGGAUUUACUGGGCGUAAAGGGCGCGUAGGCGGCCACCGCAAGUCAAUUGUGAAAUCUCCGGGCUUAACUCGGAAAGGUCAACUGAUACUGCGGGGCUAGAGUGCAGAAGGGGCAACUGGAAUUCUCGGUGUAGCGGUGAAAUGCGUAGAUAUCGAGAGGAACACCUGCGGCGAAGGCGGGUUGCUUGGCUGACACUGACGCUGAGGCGCGAAAGCUAGGGGAGCAAACAGG